Molecule: ribosomal RNA, 429 nt
Filed under: Bacteroidota bacterium
Lineage: Bacteria; Pseudomonadati; Bacteroidota
Description: Bacteroidetes bacterium partial 16S ribosomal RNA
Rfam family: Bacterial small subunit ribosomal RNA
Source: RNAcentral
UAGGGAAUCUUCCGCAAUGGGCGAAAGCUUGACGGAGCAACGCCGCGUGAGUGAUGAAGGUCUUCGGAUCGUAAAACUCUGUUAUUAGGGAAGAACAAAUGUGUAAGUAACUAUGCACGUCUUGACGGUACCUAAUCAGAAAGCCACGGCUAACUACGUGCCAGCAGCCGCGGUAAUACGUAGGUGGCAAGCGUUAUCCGGAAUUAUUGGGCGUAAAGCGCGCGUAGGCGGUUCGUCGCGUCUGGUGUGAAAGCCCAUCGCUUAACGGUGGGUUUGCGCCGGGUACGGGCGGGCUAGAGUGCAGUAGGGGAGACUGGAAUUCCCGGUGUAACGGUGGAAUGUGUAGAUAUCGGGAAGAACACCAAUGGCGAAGGCAGGUCUCUGGGCUGUUACUGACGCUGAGAAGCGAAAGCGUGGGGAGCGAACAGG